CACUAUUCAUAACUGUAAAUAGAUUGAAAAUUUACCAGAGUACUAUGAAUGUAUAAAAAUUUAAAACUCAAAGGGCUUGGCGGUGUUUUAGACCCAUCAGGGGAACCUGUCUCGUAAUCGACAAUCCACGUAAAACCUAACCCUAUCUUGUACUCAGUUUGUAUACCGUCGUCGUCAGGUAACUUUUUAAAAAUUAGAAGUUAGCAGAAAAAAUAAUGUAGAUUAAUACGUCAGAUCAAGGUGCAGCUAAUGAAAGGGAGAGGAUGGGUUACAAUUAUAUUACUUAUAAUUACGGAUAGUUAGGUGAAAAUAUACCUUAAAGGAGGACUUGAAAGUAAAAUAAAAUAUAUAAACAAUUUGAAUGUGGCUCUGAAACGUGC
Molecule: ribosomal RNA, 380 nt
Filed under: Calagrassor aldermenensis
Lineage: Eukaryota; Metazoa; Mollusca; Gastropoda; Neogastropoda; Buccinidae
Description: partial 12S ribosomal RNA
Source: RNAcentral